CUCAUAUACCAAGGGAACAUGUUGGGUCGUUGAGAUAUACUCCCCAUUGGAUAAAAUCAUUGCAGGGAAGCCUUCUUAACUUAUUGAUUUUCUAAUUUUUAUUUGUUUAUAGGGACAAUCAAUUGAAAGCUACAGUGUGGGAUCAACAUAUACCAAGGCC
Ipomoea nil (Japanese morning glory) is the source of this 160-nucleotide long non-coding RNA. RefSeq lists it as uncharacterized. The record is from RefSeq and is a predicted model, not a curated record. The transcript is spliced from 3 exons. NCBI's taxonomy places the organism in Eukaryota, Viridiplantae, Streptophyta, Magnoliopsida, Solanales, Convolvulaceae.